CCAGACUUCUCUGUCUGCAGUGCUGUGAAGGCUUCAUUUUCACAUUUCUCUUUGGCUGGACGUGUUAACUCCCAGUUUCAGGAGUUCAGGGGUUAACUUUUCAGAUCCUUCUGGAGAAAUUCUUCGUAUUUUUCACCUUCACUCGGAGAUAAAAAGACAACUAAGCGGGGAUUCCCUGGUGGCGCAGUGGUUGAGAAUCUGCCUGCCAAUACAGGGACACGGGUUCAAGCCCUGGUCCAGGAGGAUCCCACAUGCCGCGGAGCAGCAGGAUGAGAGUUAAGGCUUCCGGGCUGACCUUUGGAAGGACCAGGUCGUUGGUACUGUUCUUGGCAGCAUCCCUGUGGAAUGAGCACGUGUAACCUGGGUUUGAAUCCUGUCUCUGCCACCUGUGAACGGCAUGACAGUUCAUCUCUCUGAACAUCAGGUUCCUCAUCGGGAAAAUGGGAUAAUUAUAUUCACCUUCCAGAGUUGCCGUGAGAACUAAGGCAGGUUAAUGUAUGUCACAUGUCCUGGCAGUGUCCCCCCAGGGAAGCAGUGUUAUACAACGGUUACACACCCAGGUCCUAGACCAGAAUCCCACUCCACUACGUUCAGUGACCUUGAAUAGCUUAAUUAAUUCUUCUGGGUCUCAGUUUCUUCACCUCUAAAAUGGGCAUAGUGAUAGCAUCUAUCUCAUCAAGUUGUUUUGAGAAUUAAACAUGGACACUUUUCAUCCCCACAAAGCACUCUCUGAGGCCCAGGACAGAUCAGCCAUAUUGAACUCCAUGACACUGUCCACUAAGUGCUAGCCUGAGUGUGUGAUGAGAAGGUGUCUGCCCCGGCAAAAUUCUCCUGCCAAAGAACUGCCAUGUAGCUCACGCUACACUGCCAUGUAGCGACUGGCUCCACAGCUGAGAGGACAGGAACCCUGGGGUGAUGAUUAGACAAUUGGACCAGAGAGGAAACCAAGGAAUGCUUCCUGGAAGAAGAGAAUCUUGAGCUGGACUUAAAAGCAAAAUUAAAAGCACCUAAGGGGGAAGAGAAGUUACUGGGUCAGAGGAAGGGGCUCUAUCCAUAUUGGCUGUUAGGUUUUCAAGCCAAAUAUCUCACAUUCAAGAAUGGAGCUCUAUAAAUCCAUAAAGAUAGAAAGUAGAUUAGUGGUUGCCAGGGACGGGAAAUGGGGCGUGAAAGCUUAUGCGUGUGGAGUUUCUUUGGGAGGGUAAUGAAAAUGUUCUAAAAUUAAAUAGUGGUAGUGGUUGUACAACUCUGCGAAUAUACUAAAAACCAGCGAACUGCAUACUUUA
Molecule: long non-coding RNA, 1283 nt
Organism: Globicephala melas (long-finned pilot whale)
Lineage: Eukaryota; Metazoa; Chordata; Mammalia; Artiodactyla; Delphinidae
Source: RefSeq, a predicted model, not a curated record